RNAcentral lists this unclassified non-coding RNA (565 nucleotides) under Alternaria terricola. Its description in RNAcentral is "sequence contains 18S rRNA gene, ITS1, 5.8S rRNA gene, ITS2, 28S rRNA gene". The stretch from base 207 to 360 matches the Rfam family "5.8S ribosomal RNA". Lineage: Eukaryota; Fungi; Ascomycota; Dothideomycetes; Pleosporales; Pleosporaceae. The record is from RNAcentral.
GUAACAAGGUCUCCGUAGGUGAACCUGCGGAGGGAUCAUUACACAAUAUGAAAGCGGGCUGGCAUCCUUCGGGGUUACAGCCUUGCUGAAUUAUUCACCCGUGUCUUUUGCGUACUUCUUGUUUCCUUGGUGGGUUCGCCCACCAUAGGACAAACCAUAAACCUUUUGUAAUUGCAAUCAGCGUCAGUAAAAAAAUUAAUAAUUACAACUUUUAACAACGGAUCUCUUGGUUCUGGCAUCGAUGAAGAACGCAGCGAAAUGCGAUAAGUAGUGUGAAUUGCAGAAUUCAGUGAAUCAUCGAAUCUUUGAACGCACAUUGCGCCCUUUGGUAUUCCAAAGGGCAUGCCUGUUCGAGCGUCAUUUGUACCCUCAAGCUUUGCUUGGUGUUGGGCGUCUUGUCUCCAGUUCGCUGGAGACUCGCCUUAAAGUAAUUGGCAGCCGGCCUACUGGUUUCGGAGCGCAGCACAAGUCGCGCUCUCUUCCAGCCAAGGUCAGCAUCCACAAAGCCUUUUUUCAACUUUUGACCUCGGAUCAGGUAGGGAUACCCGCUGAACUUAAGCAUAUC